UACGGAAGGGGCAAGCGUUGUCCGGAAUCAUUGGGCGUAAAGCGCGUGUAGGCGGUUCGGUAAGUCCGCUGUGAAAGUCGGGGGCUCAACCCUCGAAUGCCGGUGGAUACUGUCGGACUAGAGUACGGAAGAGGCGAGUGGAAUUCCUGGUGUAGCGGUGAAAUGCGCAGAUAUCAGGAGGAACACCAAUUGCGAAGGCAGCUCGCUGGGACGUUACUGACGCUGAGACGCGAAAGCGUGGGGAGCAAACAGG
This 253-nucleotide ribosomal RNA is filed under the name uncultured bacterium. Its description in RNAcentral is "partial 16S ribosomal RNA". It matches the Rfam family "Bacterial small subunit ribosomal RNA", at positions 524 to 776 of the family's 1533-position model. The record is from RNAcentral.